UCUCCCCAGCGGGCGCUCCCGUGAACCGGGUCCGCGUGCGCCCAGCAGCGGGCGGCGCUCCCGCGGCCUCCUCCACAGCCGUACACCGAGCCCAGCGUGCCCCGAACCAAACCAGAGCGAGCGUCCAAAACCCCGCUUUGCAGCUGGCAAAGCCUUCUCCCGGAAGCCACCCUGCCACUGCGAGCACGAGCGCGAGCGCGAGACGGCCCAUGGCUCCGCCGGCGCCAUUCCUCUACGCCCGCAACUCCGGCGACGGCACUAGCCAGGACGCGGCCCCGCGGGCGGCCUUCGAGGGCGACCUCCAGCGUCUCAGAGGUACUGUAAAGAGUCUUGUCGACCCAAGGGUGGUCUUCUCUUUCGAAAUGGGUGGCCUUGGGGUGCUGCACCUCGCAGCCUGCAGUGGGCAUCUUGAAGCUUGCAAGUACUUGGUGGAGGAACUGGGGGGAGAUGUGAAUGCUCCUGCUCCUGGAGUUGGAGACUUUGCAGGUGUGACACCCUUUAUGACAUCUGCUCAGUCCGGCGAUGUUUCGACUGUGAAGUAUUUGCUUGAUCGUGGUGGUGAUGUAACUAAAGCAGAUGGUCAAGGACGCACAGUUCUUCACCAUGCGGCAUGCAAAGGAAGCUGUAAGGUUACUGAGUUUCUACUUUCAAAAGGAGUACCUGUUGACAUAGACUGUGGCCGUGGUACACCGCUCCAUCAAGUUGCUACCAACGAAAAGGAUAAAACAGUGAAGAUUUUGUUGGAACACCAUGCAGAUCCUAACACUACUGUAACCGGUUUGGGUACUGCCCUGAUGGGUGCUCUUUUAUACCGUUCAUUGAAAUGCAUGAAGCUGCUGAUUAAGGGUGGUGCUGAUGUCAAUCGAAGGAACUCCCUUCUGGCUACUCCGUUGGUGGUCGCUACAGGGCACAAAGGCUAUACCAACUUUGUGCAGUUUCUGUUGAAGGCAGGAGCGGAUCCAAAUAUUCCCGAUGCUCUACGGUUGCUUCUACUGCAGCAAGUGCUCCAACAUCUAUAUGGUAGGUUACCAGUAGAGCAUGCUGCGAGACGUGACUGCAGGGAAGAAGUUGAAAUGCUGUUUCCUUUGACUUUCCCAAUUCCAACUAUCCCAAACUGGAGUGUAGAUGGAAUCAUCUUGCAUGCAAAAUUUGAAAGUGCAAAGCCGCUGGACCAAAGCCACCUUGAACGAACAAAAGCUAUAAUGAAGUCACAGGCAGAUCAUGCAUUCAGGCUGAAGGACUAUAAGUUGGCAUCAAAAGCAUAUGGUGUGGCAAUAAAUGCAGCGCCGAGUGCAACAUUGUACGCGAACAGGAAUCUUUGUAAACUGCUGUUGGAUGAUGGUGAAGGUGCUCUGUCAGAUGCUCUCAGAUGCAGAAUGCUGCGACCUAACUGGGCAAAAGCUUGCUACCGUCAGGCUGCAGCUCACAUGCUACUAAAAUCUAUAUAGUUGCUCAUGUUCCUUUGAUGUGCUUUACGUCUAGGAGUAUAAACAAGCUUGUGAUGCUCUCCUGGACGCUCAAAAAUUAGAUCCUGGAAACACAGAGGUUGAGAGAGAGCUACGGAAGGCCAGGGAAUUAAUGAAAGCUCCUGGUGAAGCUGACAAGUGAAGCAUGGUGUUUAGCGUUAGAGUAGACCUUAUGCUUUAUGCUUUCUUAGGGGAAUGUUCUUUUGGAUUCCGUUAGAGUAGUUGGUCAACUGAAUCUGAUGGUACUUAUGCGAGUAGAAGACUGGGGUGCUGUAAAACUUGCUGACUUGCGUAGAAACGAGAUUAAUCAGGAAGCAGGGGCGCUGAAAUGCGGAUGGGCGUUUACCACUUGAGUUAAUUACGUUACAAGGUUGACUGAAUCCAGUACAAAUGCUCAAUCUGAAUGAUGAUUCCUUAUGAAUUUUGAAUAUUUGACAAUCUUUCAGUC
Aegilops tauschii subsp. strangulata is the source of this 1914-nucleotide RNA transcript. RefSeq lists it as uncharacterized. The record is from RefSeq and is a predicted model, not a curated record. Lineage: Eukaryota; Viridiplantae; Streptophyta; Magnoliopsida; Poales; Poaceae.